AGCGGAGGGGUUCCACACGUACCCAUCCCGAACACGACCGUUAAGCCCUCCAGCGCCGAUGGUACUUGGACCGCAGGAUCCUGGGAGAGUAGGACGUUGCCAUGC
RNAcentral lists this ribosomal RNA (105 nucleotides) under Paenibacillus polymyxa. The record is from RNAcentral. Lineage: Bacteria; Bacillati; Bacillota; Bacilli; Caryophanales; Paenibacillaceae.